GGUAGUUUGAUUUUGUUUCUGUCCACUUUGAAUGAAGUGUGUUUUACGAUGAUAAAAUGACAAAUGAUUUUUUGUUUUUUUAAUAGAGUCUAGGGUGUUUGAGCUAUUGCCCAUCUUGCUUAAUACCAGACAAAUUUCAAAGAUUGUAGAUCCCAUCAGUCACUCAGACACAAAAACAUGGGAAAAUAGGGUCCAGGUUGAAAAAAAAACGGAUGUACGCUUUAAUGAUGGCUCCUUUAUUGUCCGUAAGGAGACAAUAACUUUCACCCUGAGGGCUCCUGCACUUUUUUGAUCUAAAAGCACAAGGUAAGAAAAGAUUUAAACGUUAGGAAAGGCGUACCACGGAACAGAUGUCAAACCACAAGCGGAGAAACCAAUAAGUGACGAGAGCUUUGGGAAAACCAAUCCGUAUUCCCUACAGAUGUUUUGAUUGAUUUCUGUUCAACUCUUGUCAGUUUGAUUCACAUCUUGUCGCCUUGCAGCUCUGUCUGAACGGGCCCUGGAAUCAAGUCUUUACUGUUCGAAAAAAACAAUAUCGUUACUACUAGGGGUGUCACGGUUUGCAUUUAAGUCCAUCGAAGCGAGCUUUCGAUUUAGACUAGUAAAAUUAAAAGCAGGAUCGGCGAUUCCCAGAGUAUUUCUUUUCUCUCUCCACCCAUUUGCGGCCAUAAACGUUGCACACAAGAAUAAACUGAAGGAAGAACGAAAGUAAGUUAUAGACGCUCCGAAGGAGGUAAAACAUGGACCAGACAGAAGAGGAAAGACUUACUGAGAUAGAAAUAAAACAACAGACAAAAUGAGAAGAACAAAGAAUCACUUUCGCUUAUCAAAAUCUGAAGCAGGAUCGUUGAUUCCCCCAAUAUUUUCUCUCUCUCUCUCCACCCCGGCUUGCUUGCAAAUGUCUGAAGAAAAAACUAAAACAGACAUAGCGUAGCUUAGCGGCUGGUAGCAUGCA
Long non-coding RNA from Sander lucioperca (pikeperch), 955 nucleotides. RefSeq lists it as uncharacterized. The record is from RefSeq and is a predicted model, not a curated record. Lineage: Eukaryota; Metazoa; Chordata; Actinopteri; Perciformes; Percidae. The transcript has 2 exons.